ACAGAUUCCAUUCCCAGCACCAGGUCUCMUCCCUGGAAAAUCAAUGGAAGUCAAGGCAGCUUAAGAGUGGAUCUGUCCUUGAAGGUUAGAACAUCCAAGCAUUUGAAAAUGUGGGACAUACAAACCUCACAACAGAUGACAUGAUCCAAUGCAUCACCAAGACAUCAAGGAAAAUUAAGCUCAGGAUGAGUCUCAAGGUCUGUGCAAUUACUCACCAUUCCUGCACAUAGGCAGUCUGUGAAGAAGCUGUUUCUAGGACUCUGCUGCUUGACAAGUCCCUAAAAUCAUUAUGGAAUUGCAAGCUAAAGCCGAGRCACAUCCAUUCAGCAGUGACUCGCUGUGCAGCCUGGGCAAGUGUUCCUUAGUUCAGGAAGAGGUGAAUGGGGCAGUGAUGGUUCUCAGCCUCAUAAAACACUUCAAGAACUUACUGUAAAGGAAGUAUUUCUGCCACUACAAUCUCUUYCCUGCCUCCUUCCUAGCCCAGUAACACAGUAAGAACAAAGGACUAAAGUCCUGCAGAAAAGAAACUCUUCCUGCUCACCAUCUGUUUGUAUCAGAUAUUGGAACCUCUGCCCAUCCCUUCCUGACACAUCUGUUUAUGUGCUGCUUUAUCAAYGCAGAAGCCAAAUUGCAGGAAAUCAGACGGUUGCUUUGGACAAGAUGAUAAGCUGUUGCACAACCUUAUGAGUUUCGUCUCACACACUGCAAACUGAGUUUCUGGAAAGAUCUGUCUGCAAUAGAACUGCCACAGUAUAUAUGCAUUUUCCCCACUGCUAGAAGCAAAUCCCAUCAUUCUACCAUUYCAAGAGAAUGUGAAGAGAGAAAGAUAGAAGAAAAGUAAGCAGAGAAAGAAAUUAAAAAAGAAGCAUGGAGUAGAGAGAUAAUUCAGUUAGUUAAAGGAGAGCAAGGAGAGUGCAGUGGGAGAGGGAAGGAGGGUCCUCUAGGGCUAAGCAUUUGCCACAUGGGAGCCUGUAGGCUUCAGUCACAUUUGUCAGCCCUCAUCUUCUGUAACAAGAAGGUAAUUCUCCUGGGACCAUGUGCUGCUCUGAAAUGGCUUGCUGGGACACUGCACCMGGGUGGCCCUCGAGCACCUCCAUUAGCAGCGUCUCUUGGCAUGGCCCUGAUUGUGCAGGGAAGGUAAAAUGUGGCACUCCCUGUGAGUCAGCUCUCCUUGUGUUCACACCAUCAAACACUACAUUGCAUCAGAGUUGCCUGUCCCUACAGCCGUGUCACAGCACCRGUGUGAGAU
This is a long non-coding RNA of Malurus melanocephalus (red-backed fairy wren), 1249 nucleotides long. RefSeq lists it as uncharacterized. The transcript has 4 exons. The record is from RefSeq and is a predicted model, not a curated record. Lineage: Eukaryota; Metazoa; Chordata; Aves; Passeriformes; Maluridae.